UUUUGGUGAGGUGCCUUCCGAGUUCCCUGGAACGGGACGCCAUAGAGGGUGAGAGCCCCGUCUGGUUGGACACCGAUCCUCUGUAAAGCUCCUUCGACGAGUCGAGUAGUUUGGGAAUGCUGCUCUAAAUGGGAGGUAUAUGUCUUCUAAAGCUAAAUACCGGCCAGAGACCGAUAGCGCACAAGUAGAGUGAUCGAAAGAUGAAAAGAACUUUGAAAAGAGAGUUAAACAGUACGUGAAAUUGUUGAAAGGGAAGCGCUUGUGACCAGACUUGGGCUUGGUUGAUCAUCCGGGGUUCUCCCCGGUGCACUCUUCCGGCCCAGGCCAGCAUCAGUUCGCCCUGGGGGACAAAGGCUUCGGGAAUGUGGCUCUCUCCGGGGAGUGUUAUAGCCCGUUGCGUAAUACCCUGUGGCGG
Molecule: ribosomal RNA, 415 nt
Filed under: Fusarium keratoplasticum
Lineage: Eukaryota; Fungi; Ascomycota; Sordariomycetes; Hypocreales; Nectriaceae
Description: partial large subunit ribosomal RNA
Rfam family: Eukaryotic large subunit ribosomal RNA
Source: RNAcentral